AGUGGCGAACGGGUGAGUAAUAUAUCGGAACGUACCUUAUUGUGGGGGAUAACGCAGCGAAAGCUGUGCUAAUACCGCAUAAUCCCUAAGGGGGAAAGCGGGGGACCGUUAGGCCUCGCGCAAUUAGAGCGGCCGAUACCUGAUUAGCUAGUUGGUGAGGUAAAGGCUCACCAAGGCAACGAUCAGUAGCUGGUCUGAGAGGACGAUCAGCCACACUGGGACUGAGACACGGCCCAGACUCCUACGGGAGGCAGCAGUGGGGAAUUUUGGACAAUGGGGGCAACCCUGAUCCAGCAAUGCCGCGUGAGUGAAGAAGGCCUUCGGGUUGUAAAGCUCUUUUGUCAGGGAAGAAACAGCAGCUCUAACACAGUUUGCGAAUGACGGUACCUGAAGAAUAAGCACCGGCUAACUACGUGCCAGCAGCCGCGGUAAUACGUAGGGUGCAAGCGUUAAUCGGAAUUACUGGGCGUAAAGCGUGCGCAGGCGGUUAUGUAAGACAGGCGUGAAAUCCCCGGGCUUAACCUGGGAAUUGCGCUUGUGACUGCAUAGCUAGAGUAUGUCAGAGGGGGGUAGAAUUCCACGUGUAGCAGUGAAAUGCGUAGAGAUGUGGAGGAAUACCUAUGGCGAAGGCAGCCCCCUGGGAUAAUACUGACGCUCAUGCACGAAAGCGUGCGGAGCAAACAGGAUUGGAUACCCUGGU
Molecule: ribosomal RNA, 700 nt
Filed under: uncultured beta proteobacterium
Lineage: Bacteria; Pseudomonadati; Pseudomonadota; Betaproteobacteria
Description: bacterial SSU rRNA
Rfam family: Bacterial small subunit ribosomal RNA
Source: RNAcentral